Long non-coding RNA from Rhagoletis zephyria (snowberry fruit fly), 302 nucleotides. RefSeq lists it as uncharacterized. NCBI's taxonomy places the organism in Eukaryota, Metazoa, Arthropoda, Insecta, Diptera, Tephritidae. The record is from RefSeq and is a predicted model, not a curated record.
UGAAUCGUCCUCUCACAAGAACGGUUUCGGUUAAGGUCACGUGUUAUCGGAGUGUUUAUGGCGUUAAGUGCUGUUAUUGUGCUGUGCACUUUACGGAAACCAUGCUGAUGCUUCGCUGGGGUCAGGUGGUUCGUAAAAUAUGGCCUCUGGUGUCUUCGCUACCGGGGAAAGUAGGGUUAACGGACGAUAAGACUCUCAUUUGUUGGCCACGGUUUGAGCAGAGGGACCACUCUCCUAAUCUUCCAGAUGUCUGGAAUGACCAGAGUGGCCAUUGACAGGUUGAGAACCUUGGCUAAAUAGUC